UGCCAGCAGCCGCGGUAAUACGUGGAGGGCGAACGUUAUCCGGAUUUAUUGGGCGUAAAGGGAGUCUAGCCGGUUUGAUAAGUUUGUGUUUAAAUACUGGAGCUCAACUCCAGCCCGGCACAAAAACUGUCAGACUAGAAUUACAGAGAGAUCAGUGGAAUUCCAUGUGUAGCGGUGGAAUGCGUAGAUAUAUGGAGGAACACCAGUAGCGAAGGCGGCUGAUUGGAUGAUAAUUGACGGUAAAGCUCGAAAGCGUGGGUAGCAAACAGGAUUAGAUA
This 278-nucleotide ribosomal RNA is filed under the name uncultured bacterium. RNAcentral describes it as "partial 16S ribosomal RNA". It matches the Rfam family "Bacterial small subunit ribosomal RNA", at positions 506 to 784 of the family's 1533-position model. The record is from RNAcentral.